Homo sapiens (human) is the source of this 561-nucleotide long non-coding RNA. RefSeq lists it as uncharacterized. The transcript is spliced from 4 exons. The record is from RefSeq and is a predicted model, not a curated record. Lineage: Eukaryota; Metazoa; Chordata; Mammalia; Primates; Hominidae.
CCUAAUCAACAGAAUCUCCUUGGUCCUGCAGCAACCUUUAGAAGGUUUUUCAACAGAAAAGGUGUUUCUAUUCUACCCACAUCAGACUAGGAAUCACAGUUCUGGGAAUGAUGCUACAAGUGAGCAGGGAGUGAAAUAGUUAUUGAUUACCACAACAAGAUGCAAAAAAAACCCGAAAACUUAGAGGAUUAAAAUGAUAAGGAAAGUCACAAGGACAGUAACGAGUAAAGCCUGGACUUGAACUUCUGAUGACAAGCUUCCGCUUUGCCUCACAGCCUCUUAGACCAAGAUCCAAAUGAGUAAAACACACACAAAAGAGACAGGUAUCACCAUGAGCUCGUGUGGCCAAGAAGCCUUUGUAUUGACUGAACUUACCUUGGAAGUAAAUGCAUGUACAGUAAUAAGUUUCAACUUUUUUAAGGACAUGGGCUCACAAAGGGAAAAACUGCUGGGAGUAGAAUAAAAACUGAGCAGGAUACAGACAACAGAGAUGAAGAAAAAGAAGUCCAGUUACAAGGAGAUGGGUGGGGAGGAAGAGUGAGAAAAUCCUAGAAAGCAAGC